AAACUCAAAGGAAUUGACGGGGCCCGCACAAGCGGUGGAGCAUGUGGUUUAAUUCGAUGCAACGCGAAGAACCUUACCUGGGCUUGACAUCCCGGGAAUCCCUUGGAAACAAGGGAGUGCCUUCGGGGAACCUGGAGACAGGUGCUGCAUGGCUGUCGUCAGCUCGUGUCGUGAGAUGUAGGGUUAAGUCCCGCAACGAGCGCAACCCUUGUCUUUAAUUGCCAUCAUUGAGUUGGGCACUUUAAAGAGACUGCCGGUGUUAAACCGGAGGAAGUGGGGAUGACGUCAAGUCCUCAUGGCCCUUAUGCGUAGGGCUUCACACGUCAUACAAUGGUCGGUACAGAGGGUUGCCAACCCGCGAGGGGGAGCCAAUCCCAUAAAGCCGAUCGUAGUCCGGAUUGCAGUCUGCAACUCGACUGCAUGAAGUCGGAAUCGCUAGUAAUCGCGGAUCAGCAUGUCGCGGUGAAUACGUUCCCGGGUCUU
RNAcentral lists this ribosomal RNA (483 nucleotides) under uncultured Tepidiphilus sp. RNAcentral describes it as "bacterial SSU rRNA". It matches the Rfam family "Bacterial small subunit ribosomal RNA", at positions 897 to 1382 of the family's 1533-position model. The record is from RNAcentral. Lineage: Bacteria; Pseudomonadati; Pseudomonadota; Hydrogenophilia; Hydrogenophilales; Hydrogenophilaceae.